CAGAGAGAUAGUAUUAUGCUUAUUGCAGAAACUCUGCUCUUUUUAAAGCCCCCAGAGUAUAACUCAUAACUGUCAAUCAGCAACAACCUUUUGGGCCUCUGAAACAUUGUAUUAGCACUUUACUGCAGUCUGUGAGUCACACCGGCUUCCCACGUACCGCGAACAUCAGCUGUGGUGAAGAAAAUUACAAAAUAUUGACCGAAAUCUGCCCUUUGACCCCUCUACAGCCCUCAUCCAUGCUGACCUCCAGUCACUAUGGAAACAGUGUGCCUCACUCACCGUCCUGCCAGAACAUGGGGGACAACAGGGAGGGGAGGAGGAGGAAGAAGAAGAGGAGGCGAGAGGGGAGUCCGAGCAGGACAGAGAAACACUGAGGACGGAGAGGAAGAGGAGGCACUCAAGCAUGCGAGAGAUAUCCAGUGAGUCAGGACUGCCACCCGCAGACGGCUCGUCCUACACGUCCAAAGAGGACAAAUCCAUAACCGAUGUGGUCACUCCUGUCAGCAGAUGGUAAGUCUCAGGUGGAUGGAUGGACAGACAGACAGCUAGAUGGACAAAGAAAUACAUCACUGUGUGUGGGUGUGUGUGUGUGUGUGUGUGGUGUGUGUGUGUGUGUGUGUGUGUGUGUGGUGGUGUAGGUCUCCACAAGAGGAGGCGCAGCUCCGCAUGGAUCCCAUAGCGGAGGAGAACGUCGAGAUGCCCGAGGCUCGGACUGACACAGAACAAAGGGACAUGCUGAGCUGGAUCUCCUCCAGCUUGCAGAGGUUUGGGGAAGUCACCUUUGACUCUCUGGUGCCCCCGGAGGCCAACCGCACCACUGCAGCACACACGCUCUAUAAACUGCUAGAGCUGCUGUCUGCCCGACAGGUGACCGUCCAACAGACUGAACCGUUCAGUAACAUCUGCAUCAGGACGGCCGCGUGAACACACACAACAUACACACUAUAGUCCUGUAGAGGUACAGUUAAUAGUCUUUUUAUCGAUGAAUAUAAUGUAUGAAUGUAACCCUUUCGCUUUUAGUGACGCAUUAUAUCAUCACAUCAGAUCUCAC
Molecule: long non-coding RNA, 1051 nt
Filed under: Sander lucioperca (pikeperch)
Lineage: Eukaryota; Metazoa; Chordata; Actinopteri; Perciformes; Percidae
Description: lncRNA (ENSSLUG00000019714.1)
Source: RNAcentral